CCCUUAGAUGUUCUGGGCCGCACGCGCGCUACAAUGAUGAAUUCAACGAGUUUAUAACCUUGGUUGAAAAGCCUGGGUAAUCUUUUGAACUUUCGUCGUGAUGGGGCUAGACCCUUGCAAUUAUUGGUCUCCAACGAGGAAUUCCUAGUAAACGCAAGUCAUCAGCUUGCAUUGAUUACGUCCCUGCCCUUUGUACACACCGCCCGUCGCUCCUACCGAUUGAAUGAUCCGAUGAAUAUCAUGGAUUGAGGAUGCAAGUAGGUUAGCCUAUCUUCAUCUUCGAGAAGUGAAGUAAAUCUUAUCAUUUAGAGGAAGGAGAAGUCGUAACA
RNAcentral lists this ribosomal RNA (329 nucleotides) under uncultured eukaryote. RNAcentral's name for it is "partial 18S ribosomal RNA". It matches the Rfam family "Eukaryotic small subunit ribosomal RNA", at positions 1470 to 1796 of the family's 1831-position model. The record is from RNAcentral.